UAUCUCUGUAGAGUCUGCAUAUCAAUAAGCGGAGGAAAAGAAACUAACUAGGAUUCCCUCAGUAACGGCGAGUGAAGCGGGAAGAGCUCAAAUUUGAAAUCUUCAAGGUUUUACCUUGACGAAUUGUAGUUUAAAGAAGUGUUUUCUGUUGGUGUUUUGGUAAAAGUUCUUUGGAAUAGGACAUCAUAGAGGGUGAGAAUCCCGUAUUUGACCAGUUACUUUCCAGCUGUUGUGAUACACUUUCAAAGAGUCGGAUUGUUUGGGAAUGCAGUCCAAAAUGGGUGGUAAAUUUCAUCUAAAGCUAAAUAUUGGCGAGAGACCGAUAGCGAACAAGUACCGUGAGGGAAAGAUGAAAAGAACUUUGAAAAGAGAGUUAAACAGUACGUGAAAUUGUCAAAAGGGAAGCGUUUGACACCAGUGUUGUUUUCUCGAAAAUCAAUUAAAAAAAGUUGGAUUUUGUAUUGUUAAGACCUUAUCAGCUUACUGUACUCUUUUCUUGCUUUUUUUAAUGCACUUUUCGUUUAACAAGUCAACAUCAAUUUCUUUUGUUGUAAAAGAGUCAUUGGAAGGUGGCUUUCACUUCGGUGAAAGUGUUUAUAGCCUUUGGCUUCUGCAAUCGGAGAGGUUGAGGUCUGCAGCGUAGAUCCUUCGGGGCUAGAUACGUAGAUGCUAAGUUAUAGUUUUUUAUAGACAACUUGUUGACUAUAAUUAAUCAUGUAGCUUACUCGUUUGCGCUAUUUUACCUACGCUUAGGAUGUUGACGAUCAGCUGAGCGCG
This 777-nucleotide ribosomal RNA is filed under the name uncultured Neocallimastigales. Its description in RNAcentral is "partial large subunit ribosomal RNA". It matches the Rfam family "Eukaryotic large subunit ribosomal RNA", at positions 24 to 634 of the family's 3401-position model. Lineage: Eukaryota; Fungi; Neocallimastigomycota; Neocallimastigomycetes; Neocallimastigales. The record is from RNAcentral.